This 1385-nucleotide ribosomal RNA is filed under the name Salmonella enterica subsp. enterica serovar Coeln. RNAcentral describes it as "partial 23S ribosomal RNA". It matches the Rfam family "Bacterial large subunit ribosomal RNA", at positions 161 to 1503 of the family's 2925-position model. The record is from RNAcentral. Lineage: Bacteria; Pseudomonadati; Pseudomonadota; Gammaproteobacteria; Enterobacterales; Enterobacteriaceae.
AAUCCAUAGGUUAAUGAGGCGAACCGGGGGAACUGAAACAUCUAAGUACCCCGAGGAAAAGAAAUCAACCGAGAUUCCCCCAGUAGCGGCGAGCGAACGGGGAGGAGCCCAGAGCCUGAAUCAGCAUGUGUGUUAGUGGAAGCGUCUGGAAAGGCGCGCGAUACAGGGUGACAGCCCCGUACACAAAAGCGCAUGUGCUGUGAGCUCGAUGAGUAGGGCGGGACACGUGGUAUCCUGUCUGAAUAUGGGGGGACCAUCCUCCAAGGCUAAAUACUCCUGACUGACCGAUAGUGAACCAGUACCGUGAGGGAAAGGCGAAAAGAACCCCGGCGAGGGGAGUGAAAAAGAACCUGAAACCGUGUACGUACAAGCAGUGGGAGCACAGGUUUACCUGUGUGACUGCGUACCUUUUGUAUAAUGGGUCAGCGACUUAUAUUCUGUAGCAAGGUUAACCGUAUAGGGGAGCCGGAGGGAAACCGAGUCUUAAUUGGGCGUUAAGUUGCAGGGUAUAGACCCGAAACCCGGUGAUCUAGCCAUGGGCAGGUUGAAGGUUGGGUAACACUAACUGGAGGACCGAACCGACUAAUGUUGAAAAAUUAGCGGAUGACCUGUGGCUGGGGGUGAAAGGCCAAUCAAACCGGGAGAUAGCUGGUUCUCCCCGAAAGCUAUUUAGGUAGCGCCUCGUGAAUUCAUCUCCGGGGGUAGAGCACUGUUUCGGCUAGGGGGCCAUCCCGGCUUACCAACCCGAUGCAAACUGCGAAUACCGGAGAAUGUUAUCACGGGAGACACACGGCGGGUGCUAACGUCCGUCGUGAAGAGGGAAACAACCCAGACCGCCAGCUAAGGUCCCAAAGUCAUGGUUAAGUGGGAAACGAUGUGGGAAGGCCCAGACAGCCAGGAUGUUGGCUUAGAAGCAGCCAUCAUUUAAAGAAAGCGUAAUAGCUCACUGGUCGAGUCGGCCUGCGCGGAAGAUGUAACGGGGCUAAACCAUGCACCGAAGCUGCGGCAGCGAACGUAUCACCCAAGACAACUUUACGGAGUUGACGAUUGACGGAGCGAAGCGACGUCAAAGCGUUCAUUAAAGUCGAGUUGGCUUAGGGAUACGUUCGUUGGGUAGGGGAGCGUUCUGUAAGCCUGUGAAGGUGUGUCGUGAGGCAUGCUGGAGGUAUCAGAAGUGCGAAUGCUGACAUAAGUAACGAUAAAGCGGGUGAAAAGCCCGCUCGCCGGAAGACCAAGGGUUCCUGUCCAACGUUAAUCGGGGCAGGGUGAGUCGACCCCUAAGGCGAGGCCGAAAGGCGUAGUCGAUGGGAAACGGGUUAAUAUUCCCGUACUUGGUGUUACUGCGAAGGGGGGACGGAGAAGGCUAUGUUGGCCGGGCGACGGUU